GUCGUGAGAUGUUGGGUUAAGUCCCGCAACGAGCGCAACCCUUGUCCCUAGUUGCUACGCAAGGGCACUCUAGGGAGACUGCCGGUGACAAACCGGAGGAAGGUGGGGAUGACGUCAAGUCCUCAUGGCCCUUAUGGGUAGGGCUUCACACGUCAUACAAUGGCCGGUACAGAGGGUUGCCAAAGCGCGAGCUGGAGCCAAUCCCAGAAAGCCGGUCGUAGUCCGGAUUGCAGUCUGCAACUCGACUGCAUGAAGUCGGAAUCGCUAGUAAUCGCGGAUCAGCAUGUCGCGGUGAAUACGUUCCCGGGUCUUGUACACACCGCCCGUCACACCAUGGGAGCGGGAUGUACCAGAAGUAGGUAGGCUAACCGCAAGGGGGCCGCUUACCACGGUGCGUUUCGUGACUGGGGUGAAGUCGUAACAAGGUAGCCGUAUCGGAAGGUGCGGCUGGAUCACCUCCUUUCUAGAGAUAACCCAUCUCUUCAAGUGUCCACUCUUAUCGGUUGUUGCUCUCAGGGAUCAGGCAUCAGGGAUCAGGUAUCAGUCAAAUAGAGCGCGCGCGAAGCGCGCGGUAAAAUUCUGAUUCCUGAUGCCUGAUCCCUGACAUGGGCCUGUAGCUCAGCUGGUUAGAGCACCGUCUUGAUAAGGCGGGGGUCGAUGGUUCGAAUCCAUCCAGACCCACCAACCAGGGAUCAGUGAUCAGGGAUCAGGUAUCAGUCAAUAGAGCGCGCGCGAAGCGCGCGGUAAAUUCUGAUUCCUGAUACCUGAUCCCUGAUUCCUGAAAAGGGGCUGUAGCUCAGUUGGGAGAGCACCUGCUUUGCAAGCAGGGGGUCGUCGGUUCGAUCCCGUCCAGCUCCACCAGGCGCCGAUAAGCGAUGAGACUGUCGCGGCUCUGGCCGCGAAGUUCUUUGACAACCGAAUACGUUGAUUCUCGAGUGUAGCCAAGCAUGAUGUUCUCCAAGUAGGCAAAGAAAUUCGUGGUCAAGCUACUAAGGGCGAACGGUGGAUGCCUUGGCGCCAGGAAGCGAUGAAAGGGCGUGGCUAGCUGCGAUAAGCCUCGGGGAGCCGCAAAGCCAGGCUUCGAUCCGAGGAUGC
RNAcentral lists this small RNA (1095 nucleotides) under uncultured beta proteobacterium. Its description in RNAcentral is "bacterial SSU rRNA". The stretch from base 1 to 463 matches the Rfam family "Bacterial small subunit ribosomal RNA", at positions 1064 to 1533 of the family's 1533-position model. The record is from RNAcentral. Lineage: Bacteria; Pseudomonadati; Pseudomonadota; Betaproteobacteria.